GGCGUGGCGGCGUGCCAAACAUUGCAAGUCGAACCGGGGAACAGACGGAAACCCAAGUGAAGUUCUGUUCCCGAAGUGGCGGACGGGUGAGUAACGCGUGGAUAACCUGCCGCAUGCAGGGGGAUACCGGCUGGAAACAGCCGCUAAUACCGCAUAAGCGCACGGUGCCGCAUGGCAGAGUGCGAAAAGGAGAAAUCCGGCAAGCGAUGGAUCCGCGUCCGAUUAGCCAGUUGGCGGGGUAAGGGCCCACCAAAGCGACGAUCGGUAGCCGGCCUGAGAGGGCGGACGGCCACAUUGGGACUGAGACACGGCCCAGACUCCUACGGGAGGCAGCAGUGGGGGAUAUUGCACAAUGGGGGAAACCCUGAUGCAGCGACGCCGCGUGGGUGAAGAAGUAUUUCGGUAUGUAAAGCCCUAUCAGCAGGGAAGAAAGAAGACGGUACCUGACUAAGAAGCCCCGGCUAACUACGUGCCAGCAGCCGCGGUAAUACGUAGGGGGCGAGCGUUAUCCGGAUUCACUGGGUGUAAAGGGAGCGUAGACGGCCGUGCAAGCCAGGAGUGAAAGCCCGGGGCCCAACCCCGGGACUGCUCUUGGAACUGUGCGGCUGGAGUGCGGGAGGGGCAGGCGGAAUUCCUGGUGUAGCGGUGAAAUGCGUAGAUAUCAGGAGGAACACCGGCGGCGAAGGCGGCCUGCUGGACCGCGACUGACGUUGAGGCUCGAAAGCGUGGGGAGCGAACAGGAUUAAAUACCCUGGUAAUCCACGCCGUAAACGAUGACUACUAGGUGUCGGGGCACGACA
RNAcentral lists this ribosomal RNA (800 nucleotides) under uncultured bacterium. RNAcentral describes it as "bacterial SSU rRNA". It matches the Rfam family "Bacterial small subunit ribosomal RNA", at positions 32 to 835 of the family's 1533-position model. The record is from RNAcentral.